AUUGAACGCUGGCGGCAGGCCUAACACAUGCAAGUCGAACGAGUGGCGGACGGGUGAGUAAUGUCUGGGAAACUGCCUGAUGGAGGGGGAUAACUACUGGAAACGGUAGCUAAUACCGCAUACCAUCAGAUGUGCCCAGAUGGGAUUAGCGUGUUGGUGGGGUAACGGCUAACCAAGGCGACGAUCCCUAGCUGGUCUGAGAGGAUGACCAGCAAGACUGAAGCUGAGACACAGUCCGGAGUCCUACGGCAGGCAGAAUUGGGGAAUGUUGCACAAAGGGCGCAAGCCUGAUGCAGACAUGCCGAGUGUAUGAAGAAGGCAUUCGGAUGGUAAAGUACUUUCAGAGAGGAGGGGUUACUCGCAGAAGAGGCACCGGCUAACUCCGUGCCAACAGCCGCGGUAAUUC
This 406-nucleotide ribosomal RNA is filed under the name uncultured bacterium. RNAcentral describes it as "partial 16S ribosomal RNA". It matches the Rfam family "Bacterial small subunit ribosomal RNA", at positions 30 to 526 of the family's 1533-position model. The record is from RNAcentral.